Molecule: unclassified non-coding RNA, 553 nt
Filed under: Hevea brasiliensis (rubber tree)
Lineage: Eukaryota; Viridiplantae; Streptophyta; Magnoliopsida; Malpighiales; Euphorbiaceae
Source: RNAcentral
UUUUAAUAUUUAUUUGGAUUUAUUGGUGAAUACUGGCAAUCUGAGCCUCGCUGAAGAAAUCUUCCAUGAAAUGCGUGGUAAUGUGGCAAUUGGUGUUGAUUCUCGUGCUUGCAACAGUAUCUUGAGAGGCUAUAUGACCUCUGCAGAGUAUGUGAAGGCAGUAAAGAUAUACAAUUUGAUGCGCCAAAAGAAAUACGACGUUGAGAUUGAAUCUUCAUUGAUGGAAAGACUUGAUUAUGUUCUUAGCUUGCGGGAGAAAGUAAUUGAAAAACCUAUUAGACUGAAGCUCACAGCAGAGCAACGAGAGGUUUUGACAGGGUCGCUUCUUGGGGGUGUGCAAAUUAGAUCAGAUGAAGAGAGAAGAUUGCAUGCAAUCCAUUAUGAAUUUAAUGAAGAGUCGAGGAUCCAUUCCAUUUUUAAGAGACACAUACAUGAUGAAUUUCACGAGUGGUUAGGCUCUCAUGAUAUGAUGGUGGAUAGCACUGCGGACAUUCCUAGUUCUUUUACUACCAUUUCACAUUCUGAUUUUACUUUCUAUGCUGAUCAGUUCUGG